AAUACCGCAAAAACCUAAACCCGCGGACCCAUUUUCAACACGAACCAACCUCACCUGCGACCCUAAACCCGAUUGUCACAACCAACAACCAAUACCAACCCUUUUGUAGCCUCCUUCACGCAUCCCACGUAAGUUCAUGUGAAGAAAUCCCUCAAAUCUUCUAGAAAUAAGUCGAGGUGUCCUCUCAAUGUAUCAAUUCUGCGAAUCUCGGGUAUGGAAGUACAAUUCCGUACAUGUAUGUCACAAUUGGCUUAUGGUGAAAAUCUAUUUUGCCUAAAUCUUAUUGGUCCACCGAUUUGGAAAUCAGUACAAUUUGUUGAGGGAACGCAAUUGGGAGUUAAAAAUUUUUGAAUUCUCUUUGGAAAAGGAAUCCCUAAAUUACUCUCAAUUCGCUUCUAUAUAAACAGCUCACUGUUGAGCUAAAAAAGGGGAUUUUUUUGGCUUCUUCCUUUUUGGAUUCGGGGAAAGUCAGGGGAUUUUCUCUUCUUUACAGGUUGGGGUUUGAAAUUUUGGAUGGUCUUUUGAGGGUUCGAAAUUGGGAGGAUUUUUUUUUUAGGACUGGCCUCUCCUUUCUGGGUUCAUAAUAUCGGAAGCAAAGGGAUUCGAAAGUCGAGGGGGUUGAGAAAAUUUGGAUUGGGGGAGUUCUUAGAAAAACUAGGUCUAAAGAGGGGGAAAAAAGUUAGCCAUUGUUCGAAGUAGCUACUAGGACUUUUUCCACUGGUGACGAAUCCGGUGAUAGCUCGAGUCCUGUUUUGCUGCUCACUAAAAGGCUGCUUGUAUGUUGUCAUGAUUGGCUUCAGGGUUUAAAGUUGCGUGCUUUGAUCGUUUUGGGUCGAUGGCGCCCUGUUCUAGCUUGUCUUAUUUUAAAGUUUCGUGUUUUGUUCUUGUUUUGAUAGUUUUUGAGCCGAGGGUGUUUUGUUCAUUGUUCGUAUUUAACGUUGUCUUGUUUGUCGAGACUUCCCCAUGAGUUCCUUGGCUUCCCAAAUGACAAAGAAUGAUAAGGAUACGCUCGACAAAAACUGACAAAUCCCAUGAUUCCUCGAUGACCAUUUUGGCUAUUAGAACUCGUUUGAGUUUGACAAAAGAGGAUGAGGAUGAUAGUAGUGCCCCGCCACUUUCUCUUUAGCUUUAUCUGCCAUGUUUUUUUUGUGUGUGGAUUUGAAUCUUUUAUCCUUCCUUGUCUCUUGAGCUUGUUGCCAGUACAUGAUCGGGUUUGGGAGAUGAAUGCAAUAAUGGGGUAUCUUAGUAUGUUUAUUUUGAAGGAAUGGCCUUAUUUUGUUCUCCUCAUGGAAAUGUAGUGUCACUGAUGUAUGUCUCUUUGAAUACCUACUGUCAAUGGAACUUGGAUUUAUAGGUCAAUUUCGAUUCUUUUCUAUGUUUCAAUCAAUCUCAUGACUAGAUCGUGGGGUUACGUUUAGGUAUGAAAUUCUCAAAACAACUUGCAAACAGUUUUCUCCUGUCUCAUAUAACAUGAGAGUAUCAUACAGUGUGGUAUAGAUUGGUUUAUUUGAAGCGCAUGACUGCAUUUCGAUUUUAGUGUUGGAAAUUAAUAGUGUUCUUGAUUUAAGUGAGACCCUCUUUGCUUUUGUUGAUUGGAUUGUCCUGUAUAAUAUACAACAUACAAGAAAAGAGGUGAAACGAACUUAUCUUGGUUCAUCUGUAGCAUAAAUUUAAGUAUCUAUUUUUGGGAAUUAUCUUCAGCUCUUCAGUUUUGUAUUCUAGUUGAGUGUUUUGAUAGCCAACUGAUAAAAUUUUCUUAGUUUCUAUGUAUUCCUUCUCAUAAGAAAGCACCGGAACCUAUCGUUUUGUCAAAAGGAAUAGAUUGCGAUUUACUAUUAAUGUACGAUCCUUUAACAAAUGUUAUUGCAUCCCUCUACUGCAACAAACAAAACAAACAUUACGUCCUAUGCUCUCAUCUAAUGGUCAUCACAUGCGAUUAGGAAAAGUGACCUUUUACUAGAAUUCUUUCAUGCAUAUGCAUACUUUCAUGCCAAAGUCCAGCAUAAUAUGGCGUGUUCUCUUUGAUCUCUAUGUUAAAAGUUCAAAACCAAUUAAACACAGUUGCAUGUCGUAUAUAUCACUAAUCUAGUAGCUAAGUUUCCUUUUAUUUAUCGAAGUAGUGAUUUUUUUUAACAGCUUUGAACUUUCUAAAUUUUUUUUGUUAUAAAAGUAAUUCAUUUUUAUGAACGCGUAUUAAUUCAUAUAUCUUUUCUUUGCAUGCACCCCCCUUGGAGCCCAAAUGGGUUCUUCUCUCUUUGGAUUUCAUAAAUGGGCCAAUGAGGCCUAUCUUUCCAAGUCAAGCCCGAAUGAAAGCCCAAAGUUGAGCACGUGGCAUAUGGAUACGAGAAGUCGAAAGAGGAAUAAUGGAUUAAAAUCCCAUCUUUGAAGCAGCCAAGGGAUUAGAAUGUUUCUUUUCUUUUAUUUGUUUAUUUAUUUUGUCGUCUUUUAUUUAUUUGCUUAUUUAUUUAUUCCUUUAUUUCAUUUGGCCUCGAAGCCAAAGUUGUAAAUUUAAUGCAGGUGGAGCGAGAUUCGAGCCAAAGGCUCGAAAACUAGACUAAGACAGGUGAAAUGGGUUGAAAACCCAACUAGAUUAUGACAAGGCCGAUGGUUUAUGCUUGAAAGCCUAAAUCACUACUUCCCCGCUUUUCUCCCCUUUUCCUUUCGUUUACUUAUUUACAUGUUCUUUGUGAACUUAGUUAAAAUCCCUAACUAAGUCGCCUAAAAAUUGGUUUUACAUAAACACUAAACUAUCACUAAAAUUGCUUUUGUUUUUUGCAGAAAUCAACUUUUUCCCAAAGUUAGUCAAAGACGAUUUUCAAACAGUCCAGAUAACCUCAAGUUAGCGGACGUUUUAGGUACCUAACACCUUGCUAAAAUGUUAAUAGGAACCACUUAUCUAGAGUCUCUAACUUAAAACGAUUUUCCUGUUUUGAAUCGUUUGAAGUAACUUUUAUAAAAGUUUUUUAAUUCCUUUUCAAAAUUAAGUGGCGACUCUCUUUCAAAAGUCAAAAUUUCUCCACAAAACAGAAAUAGCGACUCUGCUUGGGAUCUUUAACUAGGUUCUAACCAAAUGAUUGAUUUUGUCUUUUAAUUAGCUGAUUAUAUGUUUCGAUUCUGUAAAUUUCAACUAUCGGAUCCCAUCGCAUAUUCCUGCAUUAUUUAAACUGUUUUGGGGUUUCGUGGUUGUCCCGGCCCCUAUUAUUUAAUUCUAAUAAUGUGUUGGAAAUACGAAUGGCUUAUUAGCACGUGAGUCGUCUGAUGGCUGUUCGUAUUUUCAAACUCAAGUUGUUCACUUGAUAACCUUGUUCAAACCCACUCUAGACACCUAGGAUAGAACGAAAUCAAAAUCCUAUUUUAGGCAUGAGCCUAGGACGACCUAAUACUCGAGCGGGGUAUUGAGCCCACUAGAAAAUCUGUCCUGCGUCUAUUGACCUCGAGUCAAUUAUAGACGAACCAUACUUAUGUGUUGAAGAAAAUAUAUGCCUGUCUAAUUCAAUCCAUUAUCCUUUGGGGGUCAGGAAAAAGCUUGAUUUGCUUACUUUCGUAAGAAGAACUGAAGCAAGUUAAGCAAGAAAUUGAUCGAUUUGGGAGGCUGCAUCUAAGGCACAGUUUGAACGUCAACGGAUGUCACCAAUAUAAGAAAUGGGCAAAGCUAAGAGCGCGAAGGCCAAUAGAAGAAGCAUUCAGUAAUUAGUAUCCCCUACGUGGGAAAUUAUUCCCUUUCUCUAAAGAUUUUAUCCCUUUUGUUCAACUUUUGUAGACAUUUAUGUCAUUUAUGUAUACCUAUGAAGGUUUUUGAGGAUAAUGGAUUGGAUUUGAAAAGGCGUA
Long non-coding RNA from Capsicum annuum, 3828 nucleotides. RefSeq lists it as uncharacterized. The transcript is spliced from 2 exons. The record is from RefSeq and is a predicted model, not a curated record. NCBI's taxonomy places the organism in Eukaryota, Viridiplantae, Streptophyta, Magnoliopsida, Solanales, Solanaceae.